UAGCUUAUUGGUAGAGCAUAGCCUUGCCAAGGAUGAGGUUGAGGGUUCAAGUCCCUC
RNAcentral lists this transfer RNA (57 nucleotides) under Nicotiana sylvestris (wood tobacco). It matches the Rfam family "tRNA", at positions 8 to 63 of the family's 71-position model. Rfam says of the family: Transfer RNA (tRNA) molecules are approximately 80 nucleotides in length. Their secondary structure includes four short double-helical elements and three loops (D, anti-codon, and T loops). RNAcentral also lists the same sequence under 1 other name. Lineage: Eukaryota; Viridiplantae; Streptophyta; Magnoliopsida; Solanales; Solanaceae. The record is from Rfam by way of RNAcentral.